AUUGAACGCUGGCGGCAGGCCUAACACAUGCAAGUCGAACGAGUGGCGGACGGGUGAGUAAUGUCUGGGAAACUGCCCGAUGGAGGGGGAUCACUCCUGGAACCGGUAGCUAAUACCGCAUACCAUCGGAUGUGCCCAGAUGUGAUUAGCUAGUGGGUGGGGUAACGGCUCACCUAGGCGACGCUCCCUAGCUGGUCUGAGAGGAUGCCCAGCAACACUGGAACUGAGACACGGUCCAGACUCCGACGGGAGGCAGCAGUGGGGAAGAUGGCACAAGGGGCGAAAGCCUGAUGCAGCCAUGCCGCGGGUAUGAAGAAGGCCUUCGGGUUGUAAAGUACUUUCAGCGAGGAGGCGUUACUCGCAGAAGAAGCACCGGCUAACUCCGUGCCAGCAGCCGCGGUAAUAC
RNAcentral lists this ribosomal RNA (406 nucleotides) under uncultured bacterium. Its description in RNAcentral is "partial 16S ribosomal RNA". It matches the Rfam family "Bacterial small subunit ribosomal RNA", at positions 29 to 526 of the family's 1533-position model. The record is from RNAcentral.